CAGCCGUAAACUAUGCUCGCUAGGUGUCAGGCAUGGCGCGACCGUGUCUGGUGCCGCAGGGAAGCCGUGAAGCGAGCCACCUGGGAAGUACGGCCGCAAGGCUGAAACUUAAAGGAAUUGGCGGGGGAGCACAACAACGGGUGGAGCCUGCGGUUUAAUGGACUCAACGCCGGACAACUCACCGGGGACGACAGCAAUAUGUAGGCCAGGCUGAAGACCUUGCCUGAAUCGCUGAGAGGUGGUGCAUGGCGUCAGUGACU
RNAcentral lists this ribosomal RNA (260 nucleotides) under uncultured archaeon. RNAcentral describes it as "partial 16S ribosomal RNA". It matches the Rfam family "Archaeal small subunit ribosomal RNA", at positions 748 to 1008 of the family's 1478-position model. The record is from RNAcentral.